GAUGAACGCUGGCGGCGUGCUUAACACAUGCAAGUCGAACGAAGCACCUCUCCCGAAGAUUGACACAGCUUGCUGUAGAUUGAUUCAUUUGAGGUGACUGAGUGGCGUACGGGUGAGUAACGCGUGGGUAACCUGCCUCAUAGAGGGGGACAACAGUGGGAAACGACUGCUACUACCGCAUAGUAAGAAGAAUUCGCAUGUUUUCUUCUUGAAAGAUUUAUCGCUAUGAGAUGGACACACGUCUGAUUAGCUAGUUGGUAAGGUAACGGCUUACCAAGGCGAGGAUCAGUAGCCGGCAUGUGAGAGUGAACGGCCACAUUUGGACUGAGACACGGCCCAAACUCCUACGGGAGGCAGCAGUGGGGAAUACUGCACAAUGGGGGAAACCAUGAUGCAGCGACGCCGCGUGAGUGAAGAAGUAUUUAGGUAUGUAAAGCUCUAUCAGCAGGGAAGAUAAUGACGGUACCUGAAGAAGAAGCCCCGGCUAACUACGUG
Molecule: ribosomal RNA, 495 nt
Filed under: uncultured bacterium
Lineage: Bacteria
Description: partial 16S ribosomal RNA
Rfam family: Bacterial small subunit ribosomal RNA
Source: RNAcentral